GAAAUGCGAUAAGUAAUGUGAAUUGCAGAAUUCAGUGAAUCAUCGAAUCUUUGAACGCACAUUGCACUCGCCAGUAUUCUGGCGAGCAUGCCUGUUCGAGCGUCAUUUCAACCAUCAAGCUCUGCUUGCGUUGGGGAUCCGCGGCUGCCCGCGGUCCCUCAAAAACAGUGGCGGGCUCGCUAGUCACACCGAGCGUAGUAACUCUACAUCGCUAUGGUCGUGCGGCGGGUUCUUGCCGUAAAACCCCCAAUUUCUAAGGUUGACCUCGGAUCAGGUAGGAAUACCCGCUGAACUUAAGC
RNAcentral lists this unclassified non-coding RNA (299 nucleotides) under plant metagenome. RNAcentral describes it as "partial contains 5.8S ribosomal RNA, internal transcribed spacer 2, and large subunit ribosomal RNA". The stretch from base 1 to 105 matches the Rfam family "5.8S ribosomal RNA", at positions 50 to 154 of the family's 154-position model. The record is from RNAcentral.